AGGACGAACGCUGGCGGCGUGCUUAACACAUGCAAGUGGAGCGACGAACCGGGGCUUGCCCCGGGGCAGAGCCGCGAACGGGUGAGUAACACGUGGGUUACCUGCCUUGAUGACCGGGACAACCCGAGGAAACUCGGGCUAAUACCGGAUGUGCCCGCAAGGGGAAAGGAAGCUUCGGCCUCCGCAUCAAGAUGGGCCCGCGGCCCAUUAGCUUGUUGGUGAGGUAACGGCUCACCAAGGCUUCGAUGGGUAGCUGGUCUGAGAGGACGAUCAGCCACACUGGGACUGAGACACGGCCCAGACUCCUACGGGAGGCAGCAGUAGGGAAUUUUCCACAAUGGGCGAAAGCCUGAUGGAGCAACGCCGCGUGCAGGAUGAAGGCUCUAGGGUCGUAAACUGCUUUUAUAUGUGACGAUAAUGACGGUAGCAUAUGAAUAAGGAUCGGCUAACUCCGUGCCAGCAGCCGC
RNAcentral lists this ribosomal RNA (467 nucleotides) under uncultured bacterium. RNAcentral's name for it is "SSU rRNA". It matches the Rfam family "Bacterial small subunit ribosomal RNA", at positions 26 to 518 of the family's 1533-position model. The record is from RNAcentral.